UGGAGAGUGGAGAGCUCCAUACUCAGACACAGAACAGGUACAGCACAGGCAGUGGCAGUGCGAGCUUCCACACACCACCCCAACCCAUGUGCUUCGACCUUGUUCUGCAGGGGCCGCCUCUAGAGGUAAGAGGGUGACUGAGAUUUGUCACUUUCCAUCCUUGUCUUCU
RNAcentral lists this small RNA (169 nucleotides) under Crocodylus porosus (Australian saltwater crocodile). RNAcentral's name for it is "TUC338 (ENSCPRG00005002915.1)". Lineage: Eukaryota; Metazoa; Chordata; Crocodylia; Crocodylidae. The record is from RNAcentral.